GGACAAUUAAAAUUAUAUCUAUUGGUCUUGCUCGUCGUAACUAGGAUCUGAUUCCCUUGCUAACCAUCUUGAUAUAUCACCACCCAUAUUUUGAGUCU
This is a non-coding RNA of Zea mays, 98 nucleotides long. Lineage: Eukaryota; Viridiplantae; Streptophyta; Magnoliopsida; Poales; Poaceae. The record is from Rfam.